GGCUGUGUAGAUAAAUUAGGCUGCAGUCCUUCAUCUCGCCAGUCUGGUUCUUCUCCCUCUCUCUCUCUCUCUCUCUCUCUCUCUCAUAUCUCCCAUGCCAUCACACAUCAACCAGCCCCAAGAUGUUUCAAUUACACACCCACACACCUCAGCUACAGUGUCAAGUGUCCAUGUGUACCCCAGCACAGCUCCUGUACUGGCUCUUGGUCAUACGUUAUGCAGUAAUACACACUCGUACAUUCUGUACCUUCCCCCAGGAGGUCAGAGCUACCAUUUUGUCCAGCACUGUAAUAAAAGCUUUGCCCAUUACUCUCCCACCGAAAAACGCCGCCGACGGUUCACUGACAGGUUAUUGGUCCCGCUGCGUGAGAGUGUGAAAAGCCUCGGUGAAUCGAUUCUUGACAACGCUCUGGAACUUUCCUUAUGCGCCGCCUCAAAGACUUGAUUUUAACAGCAAAGUGAAGAUCUCAAGGUCAUCAUCCUCCCACUCUCACCUCUCAGAGGGAUAGCAUAUGCUCUGUGGGAUCUACCACAGACUGUGGCCAUCAUACCCAGCCUCAUCUUCUCUUUCCUCUCCAUAAUCUGUGGUUAGAGUCAGGAUUGUGUGGCCAUCUGCCUUCGACUGCAAAUAGCGUAUGCCCACUUCCCUACUUCCCUCAUUGAUGCCUGCUAUGGAUUUCGGCAUCGUUAUUGCAUCAUUUUAUGCUUUCUGUACACCUGCCGCUUUCUUAGCUGUAACUGGCAAACGACAAUGACAGGGGCGAAGCCUGCAUUCAUGCGCCGCUGACCUGAAAUCGCUGCCUUUCUGCAAUA
Long non-coding RNA from Pangasianodon hypophthalmus (striped catfish), 813 nucleotides. RefSeq lists it as uncharacterized. The record is from RefSeq and is a predicted model, not a curated record. The transcript is spliced from 3 exons. NCBI's taxonomy places the organism in Eukaryota, Metazoa, Chordata, Actinopteri, Siluriformes, Pangasiidae.